Microplitis demolitor is the source of this 2753-nucleotide long non-coding RNA. RefSeq lists it as uncharacterized. Lineage: Eukaryota; Metazoa; Arthropoda; Insecta; Hymenoptera; Braconidae. The record is from RefSeq and is a predicted model, not a curated record. The transcript has 5 exons.
AAAAUAUCCGUUGGCGACAGUGGGAGCAUAGAGGAGUGUGAACUUAGGCCAAGUGAAAGGAAAUGUAUUUAAAGUGGUUAAUAGUUCAAUGACAUAUGUAAACAAACAUAAGGGUUAGUAAAUAAAUAUUAAUUUUUAUUUGUUUAUAUAAAAAACAAUGUUGUGCUUGGUGAAGAACUGUUUAUUAAAGUGUGUAGCUUUAAUUAAUGAAUUAAAAUAAAUAAAAUGUUAUUAAAAGUAGUAAUUGUGAUUUAAAAAUUUCUGAUCUGUAGCGUGCAGUGUUAAACGUGAAAUAUUAAUUAAAAGUUGAAUAAAAUUAAGUGAUUUCAAUUAAAGAGCAUAUACAAUCACAGACUUUAGGUUAAAUGUACAUAAGUCUGAGGAAAAGUUCAAUUGGUGCACUUGCUAGUACUCUAGCUAAGUAUACUAUUUACGGAUACUACUGGUUAUAAGAUGUUAUAAGGUAGCUAGGACGAAUUCUGGGACAAAUUCACAACAAAUUCACAAUCAUAUUCAUAUAUGAUAAAAUAUUUAAUUAUUAAUUAACUUUUGUUUAAGAAAUUUAUUAAUCAUAAAUGUUAUAAUUGUAAUAAAUAAUAAAUAAAUAAAUAUACAAGUAAAGAGAGUCAACUCUUGCUCAGUUAUUUUAUAAUUCAUCUCUCAAGUUCAUUUAAAUUUAAUAUUAUAGUUAUUAUUAUUAUUUGAUGGUAUCAUCGUAUCGUCAUUAUGACGCUUGUCCGUCUAUCCGUAAUUUGUCACUAAGAUGAAAUUGAAGUUUUUGGUGGACUCUGGCUGAGGAUACUAUUUUUACAAAGACUGCUGGUUAUAAAGUAUUUACUAGUUAUGGUGAUUAUUAUCUGGGCAAAUCUGCUCGAGGCUGAUUGGAUGUUAAAUUGGAGCAUUACGUUGGAUCCCGGCUGAGGACCUUCUCUUCAUUGCGAGUACUGGCCAUUAAUUUAUGGAUGUACAGGCUACAUAAAAAAUUUCCCAAUGAAAUUUUCACGGAUUUAAUGAAGAAUUUAAUUGGAAUACGCCAAAAGACUCUGGCUCAAUCUCUUAAAAUAAAUCAAUGAAAAGCAGUCCAAUCAGUGAAUAUUCACUGCAUGAAUAGUCCCAAGUAUAUCACUGAUUAAAUCAGUGAUAUACUUGGGACUGAUUCGCAGUGAAUAUUCACUGAUUUGCAGAACUUUUUACAAAUUAUGUGAAUUCAUAUUUAAAAAAAAAAUAUUAAUUGGUUUGUAACUAUCGUAACAAUGAGGACUUAGUCUCUUGUGAAUAAGAAAAAAAGUACAUCAAAAAUAAAUAUUUUUGUUCUUGUAUUUUUAACUUCCUUAAUAAAAGCUUGAGAUAAAUUACCAUCUCUAUUCUGCAUAAUUAUUGUAUUUUUAACUCUUUCUUAUUCAUUUGUUAUUUCCAUGCACUAUCGUCUAUUGUUCUUGUUGAAAUUAUUUAUUAUUGAGAUAUCUAUCGUGAUACUCUUGUGUUUAUCCGAGACUUGUCACUUACUCAUUGUCAAGAAUUUUAUUAUUUGUUUCAUUAAUAUAUUUUAAAAAAAGUUUUUGAUUUUUACAUCUUUUAAAUCAGUUCAUUGAGUGACUGUAAUGGGUGAUAUUUAUGCGAAUAAAUCAGUGAUCACAAGGGGACGAAUCGUCGGCUUACUUCAGGCUAAUGUUCAUGCAAAUGUUGUUGCCGAAUUAUGCAAUUGCAAUUUUAAGACAGUUUAUUUAUGGAAAAAAAAAUUUCGAGAACAUGGUGAAGCUGGAUUGCUAGACCACCGUAAAUUGAAUCAUCGUCCUCGACUUACUACAGUUGAUGAAGAUUUAUUAUUGCUGGAAACGUAAUUACACAACCCGUUUUCAUCAUACGAGCAAAUCAUUCAUUUAUGCGGCUCCAAUCUUUCGCCAAUAUCAGUCGAUCUUCGCUUUAAAAAGUAUGGUAAUAUGUCAGCUCGUCCUACUAAAAAGCCAGAGCUCACAGACGCCCAUCGCAUUAAUCGCGUGCAGUAUGCUAGAAAUUAUCGAAAUUGGAUGCCUGAACAAUGGGAAGAUGUCAUUUUCACAGAUGAGAAGUCUUUUUCAACGAGUGCAGAUAACAGAUUGCGCGUUUGGCGACCACGAAACGAGAGGUUCAAUCCUGCUUAUGUGCUCCCGGAUUAUUGGUCUGGUCGAGUUACGUCCAACCAUUGGGGUUGCAUGUCUGGACGAGGAUUAAUAGCUUUGCAACCUUUGUCGGGAAAUUUCAAUGGUGAAGAAUAUGUUGAAUUACUGAAUGAGUGUAUGGAACCAGCCGUCCGUGAUAUUUAUCCGGAGGAAGACCAUCCUUUCAUAUAUUUCCUGCAAGAUAAUAGCCCGAUCCAUACCUCACGCCUUGCUCAGGAUUGGUUUAUGGCCAAUCCUGACUUCAUCCUCAUACCACAUCCUUCUAAGUCACCAGAUCUUAACCCAAUCGAGAAUGUGUGGGGUAAAACUUUAUCUUCACAUUUAAAAUAAAUAAUCUAUUGACAUAAUUCUCAUUUUUUGUUUCUUUUUGAACUUGUAAGAUAUAUAAAUUUUUUUUGUUUACACUUCUUAAAGCUAUGAUGACAAGGAAUUGGCAACCUGUGGAACCAAUCAGGACUAAGGCGAUGCUGAAUGAAUUUGUUCGUGGGGUCUGGGAUAACGUAAGCUACAAAAUUCCUGACUUAUUAAAGACAGUGAGAUCCAUGCCUAGACGUUUGGAGGAAGUUAUUGCGAAUGAUGGUUAUUCGACAAAAU